AGAGUUUGAUCAUGGCUCAGGACGAACGCUGGCGGCGUGCCUAAUACAUGCAAGUCGAGCGAGCUUGCCUAGAUGAUUUUAGUGCUUGCACUAAAUGAAACUAGAUACAAGCGAGCGGCGGACGGGUGAGUAACACGUGGGUAACCUGCCCAAGAGACUGGGAUAACACCUGGAAACAGAUGCUAAUACCGG
This 192-nucleotide ribosomal RNA is filed under the name uncultured bacterium. RNAcentral's name for it is "partial 16S ribosomal RNA". It matches the Rfam family "Bacterial small subunit ribosomal RNA", at positions 8 to 172 of the family's 1533-position model. The record is from RNAcentral.